RNAcentral lists this ribosomal RNA (166 nucleotides) under uncultured bacterium. RNAcentral's name for it is "partial 16S rRNA". It matches the Rfam family "Bacterial small subunit ribosomal RNA", at positions 355 to 511 of the family's 1533-position model. The record is from RNAcentral.
UAGGGAAUCUUCCACAAUGGGCGAAAGCCUGAUGGAGCAACGCCGCGUGUGUGAUGAAGGCUUUCGGGUCGUAAAGCACUGUUGUAUGGGAAGAACAGCUAGAAUAGGAAAUGAUUUUUAGUUUUGACGGUACCAUACCAGAAAGGGACGGCUAAAUACGUGUCAG